GAUGAACGCUAGCGGGAGGCCUAACACAUGCAAGCCGAGCGGUAUUGUUUCUUCGGAAAUGAGAGAGCGGCGUACGGGUGCGUAACACGUGUGCAACCUGCCUUUAUCUGGGGGAUAGCCUUUCGAAAGGAAGAUUAAUACUCCAUAAUAUAUUGAACGGCAUCGUUUAAUAUUGAAAGCUCCGGCGGAUAGAGAUGGGCACGCGCAAGAUUAGCUAGUUGGUGAGGUAACGGCUCACCAAGGCGAUGAUCUUUAGGGGGCCUGAGAGGGUGAUCCCCCACACUGGUACUGAGACACAGACCAGAAUCCUACGGGAGGCAGCAGUGAGGAAUAUUGGUCAAUGGGUGCAAGCCUGAACCAGCCAUCCCGCGUGAAGGACGACUGCCCUAUGGGUUGUAAACUUCUUUUGGAUAGGGAUAAACCUACCCUCGAGAGGGUAGCUGAAGGUACUAUACGAAUAAGCACCGGCUAACUCCGUG
Molecule: ribosomal RNA, 479 nt
Filed under: uncultured bacterium
Lineage: Bacteria
Description: partial 16S ribosomal RNA
Rfam family: Bacterial small subunit ribosomal RNA
Source: RNAcentral